Transfer RNA from Camelus ferus (Wild Bactrian camel), 72 nucleotides. It matches the Rfam family "tRNA". Rfam says of the family: Transfer RNA (tRNA) molecules are approximately 80 nucleotides in length. Their secondary structure includes four short double-helical elements and three loops (D, anti-codon, and T loops). Lineage: Eukaryota; Metazoa; Chordata; Mammalia; Artiodactyla; Camelidae. The record is from Rfam.
GAGGUUAUAGCUCAGUGGUAGAAUGCAUGUUUAGCAUGCACGAGGUCCUGGGUUCAAUCUCCAGUAACUCCA